GUAGUGCUGAAGAGUCCCAAACUAGGACGAAACAGAUGUCCAGUAC
Molecule: non-coding RNA, 46 nt
Filed under: Trichobilharzia regenti
Lineage: Eukaryota; Metazoa; Platyhelminthes; Trematoda; Strigeidida; Schistosomatidae
Source: RNAcentral